Molecule: ribosomal RNA, 254 nt
Filed under: uncultured bacterium
Lineage: Bacteria
Description: partial 16S ribosomal RNA
Rfam family: Bacterial small subunit ribosomal RNA
Source: RNAcentral
UACGUAGGGUGCGAGCGUUGUCCGGAAUUAUUGGGCGUAAAGAGCUCGUAGGCGGUGUGUCACGUCGGCCGUGAAAACCUGCAGCUUAACUGUGGGCGUGCGGUCGAUACGGGCAUCACUGGAGUUCGGCAGGGGAGACUGGAAUUCCUGGUGUAGCGGUGAAAUGCGUAGAUAUCAGGAGGAAUACCGAUGGCGAAGGCAGGUCUCUGGGCUGACACUGACGCUCAUGCACGAAAGCGUGGGGAGCAAACAGG